This 434-nucleotide ribosomal RNA is filed under the name uncultured bacterium. Its description in RNAcentral is "partial 16S ribosomal RNA". It matches the Rfam family "Bacterial small subunit ribosomal RNA", at positions 29 to 507 of the family's 1533-position model. The record is from RNAcentral.
AGCGAACGCUGGCGGCAGGCCUAACACAUGCAAGUCGAACGAACCUUUCGGGGUUAGUGGCGGACGGGUGAGUAACACGUGGGAACGUGCCUUUAGGUUCGGAAUAACUCAGGGAAACUUGUGCUAAUACCGAAUGUGCCCUUCGGGGGAAAGAUUAAUCGCCUUUAGAGCGGCCCGCGUCUGAUUAGCUAGUUGGUUGAGGUAAUGGCUCACCAAGGCGACGAUCAGUAGCUGGUCUGAGAGGAUGAUCAGCCACAUUGGGACUGAGACACGGCCCAAACUCAUCGGGGGGGAGGCAGGGGGGAAUCUUGCGAAAGGGGCGAAAGCCUGACGCACCUAGGCCGGGGGAAUGAGGAAGGUUUUGGGUUUGAAAAUUUUUUCCCCCGGGGCGGAUAAUGACGGUCCCGGGAAAAGAAGCCCCGGCUAACUUGGUC